GGGCCUUUAGCUCAGCCUGGUGAGAGCGUUCGCCUCAUAAGCGAUUGGUCGCAGGUUCAAAUCCUGCAAGGCCCA
Molecule: transfer RNA, 75 nt
Filed under: compost metagenome
Description: tRNA-Met
Rfam family: tRNA
About the family: Transfer RNA (tRNA) molecules are approximately 80 nucleotides in length. Their secondary structure includes four short double-helical elements and three loops (D, anti-codon, and T loops).
Source: RNAcentral